Long non-coding RNA from Dreissena polymorpha, 868 nucleotides. RefSeq lists it as uncharacterized. NCBI's taxonomy places the organism in Eukaryota, Metazoa, Mollusca, Bivalvia, Myida, Dreissenidae. The record is from RefSeq and is a predicted model, not a curated record. The transcript has 3 exons.
AAACCUUAUCACAAGGUAUAGGUCCAUGCAAGGUAUCUACAUGCCAAAUAUAAAAGUGAUCAACAAAAUAUUGAAGGCGCUAUGAGAAACUGUACAAAAAUGUAACGGAAAAUCUAUUAUUAGCCUCGGUGACCUUGAAUUCGACCCCAGUGACGUCAAACUUCAUCAAAAGGUAGAGGUCUAUGCAAGGUACAUUCAUGCCAAAUAUGUAAGAGAUCGGUAAAAUAUUGAAGGCGCUAUGAGAAACAAAAGUGUGACGGACAAUCUAUUAUUAUAAUCCUCGGUGACCUUGAAAAUCACUGUCCAGAAUGUCGUUUAGGACCAGUGCCACUUAGACAAUUUAAUCUUGUUGGUGAGCAGAAAAAGAGAUUGUGUGGAGAGAUUGUGUGGAUUUUUGUUUUUGCGAUGCCAGAAUGUUAACAAUUGCCAUGUGAACCGUUUAUCGUACGGCAAAACCCAUCACGUAAAGAAGAGUCUUCAAGAGAGGAAUGCAUUGUUUUGAUAAAAACACAAAGCUCGGAAAAGGCAGCAAUGGUCGACAACAUUGGUGGUCAAGGAAGAGUAACUACUUUUUUUCAACACUGAAUGUUCCAAUGAUAAGUAACUCAAACUUUAAGAAAAUGUAAAAACUCGCGAGUAGGACCAUUCAACAAGUGUCAACUAUCUCCUCAGCAGACGCUUCUAGACAGGGUUAUCAGAUGUGAUAAAGCUGUACAUGAGGAAAAUGACACCCGACAGAUUAUGGACUCAACCAUUCAACAUUCAACCACGAAAUUACUAGGAAAUUGCAGGCACUUAGUGUUUUUGUUUACAAUCAUGUGUCCAAGGCCGCAACAACAUAAAAUAUUAUAACUGGCUCUGGACUAAA